RNAcentral lists this ribosomal RNA (964 nucleotides) under marine metagenome. RNAcentral's name for it is "bacterial SSU rRNA". It matches the Rfam family "Bacterial small subunit ribosomal RNA", at positions 88 to 1087 of the family's 1533-position model. The record is from RNAcentral.
AUACUUAGUGGCAGACGGGUGAGUAACAUGUGGGUAUCUUCCCUAUGGUGAGGAAUAACACGAGGAAACUUGUGCUAAUACCUCAUAAGUCUUUACGGAGAAAGCUUUAUGCGCCAUUGGAUGAGCCCGCACUUGAUUAGUUUGUUGGUAGGGUAACGGCCUACCAAGACUGUGAUCAAUAGCUGAUUUGAGAGGAUGAUCAGCCACAUUGGGACUGAGACACGGCCCAAACUCCUACGGGAGGCAGCAGUAAGGAAUCUUGCACAAUGGAGGAAACUCUGAUGCAGCGAUGCCGCGUGAGUGAAGAAGGCCCUUGGGUUGUAAAGCUCUUUCGUCGGGGAAGAAAAUGACUGUACCCGAAUAAGAAGGUCCGGCUAACUUCGUGCCAGCAGCCGCGGUAAUACGAAGGGACCUAGCGUAGUUCGGAAUUACUGGGCUUAAAGAGUUCGUAGGUGGUUAAAAAAGUUGGUGGUGAAAUCCCAGAGCUUAACUCUGGAACUGCCAUCAAAACUUUUUAGCUAGAGUAUGAUAGAGGAAAGCAGAAUUUCUAGUGUAGAGGUGAAAUUCGUAGAUAUUAGAAAGAAUACCAAUUGCGAAGGCAGCUUUCUGGAUCAUUACUGACACUGAGGAACGAAAGCAUGGGUAGCGAAGAGGAUUAGAUACCCUCGUAGUCCAUGCCGUAAACGAUGUGUGUUAGACGUUGGAAAUUUAUUUUCAGUGUCGCAGCGAAAGCGAUAAACACACCGCCUGGGGAGUACGACCGCAAGGUUAAAACUCAAAUGAAUUGACGGGACCCGCACAAGUAGUGGAGCAUGUGGUUUAAUUCGAAGAUACGCGCAGAACUUACCAACACUUGACAUGUUCGUCGCGACUUUAAGAGAUUAAAGUUUUCGGUUCGGCCGGACGAAACACAGGUGCUGCAUGGCUGUCGUCAGCUCGUGUCGUGAGAUGUUGGGUUAAGUCC